ACGGCCACCUCACGUUGAAACACUUUUUCCCGUACGAUUACCGAAGUUAAGCAACGUCGAGCCUGGUCAGUACUUAGACGGGUGGCCGCUUAAGAAUACCAGGUGACGUAAG
Non-coding RNA from Acanthosepion pharaonis, 112 nucleotides. The record is from the annotation of a GenBank genome assembly. NCBI's taxonomy places the organism in Eukaryota, Metazoa, Mollusca, Cephalopoda, Sepiida, Sepiidae.